RNAcentral lists this ribosomal RNA (732 nucleotides) under Pseudomonas aeruginosa. RNAcentral describes it as "bacterial SSU rRNA". It matches the Rfam family "Bacterial small subunit ribosomal RNA", at positions 55 to 782 of the family's 1533-position model. Lineage: Bacteria; Pseudomonadati; Pseudomonadota; Gammaproteobacteria; Pseudomonadales; Pseudomonadaceae. The record is from RNAcentral.
AUGNNNGUCGAGCGGAUGAAGGGAGCUUGCUCCUGGAUUCAGCGGCGGACGGGUGAGUAAUGCCUAGGAAUCUGCCUGGUAGUGGGGGAUAACGUCCGGAAACGGGCGCUAAUACCGCAUACGUCCUGAGGGAGAAAGUGGGGGAUCUUCGGACCUCACGCUAUCAGAUGAGCCUAGGUCGGAUUAGCUAGUUGGUGGGGUAAAGGCCUACCAAGGCGACGAUCCGUAACUGGUCUGAGAGGAUGAUCAGUCACACUGGAACUGAGACACGGUCCAGACUCCUACGGGAGGCAGCAGUGGGGAAUAUUGGACAAUGGGCGAAAGCCUGAUCCAGCCAUGCCGCGUGUGUGAAGAAGGUCUUCGGAUUGUAAAGCACUUUAAGUUGGGAGGAAGGGCAGUAAGUUAAUACCUUGCUGUUUUGACGUUACCAACAGAAUAAGCACCGGCUAACUUCGUGCCAGCAGCCGCGGUAAUACGAAGGGUGCAAGCGUUAAUCGGAAUUACUGGGCGUAAAGCGCGCGUAGGUGGUUCAGCAAGUUGGAUGUGAAAUCCCCGGGCUCAACCUGGGAACUGCAUCCAAAACUACUGAGCUAGAGUACGGUAGAGGGUGGUGGAAUUUCCUGUGUAGCGGUGAAAUGCGUAGAUAUAGGAAGGAACACCAGUGGCGAANGCGACCACCUGGACUGAUACUGACACUGAGGUGCGAAAGCGUGGGGAGCAAACAGGAUUAGA